Molecule: microRNA, 21 nt
Filed under: Arabidopsis thaliana (thale cress)
Lineage: Eukaryota; Viridiplantae; Streptophyta; Magnoliopsida; Brassicales; Brassicaceae
Description: ath-miR5013
Source: miRBase by way of RNAcentral
UUUGUGACAUCUAGGUGCUUU